This 73-nucleotide transfer RNA is filed under the name Camelus bactrianus (Bactrian camel). It matches the Rfam family "tRNA". From Rfam's summary of the family: Transfer RNA (tRNA) molecules are approximately 80 nucleotides in length. Their secondary structure includes four short double-helical elements and three loops (D, anti-codon, and T loops). The record is from Rfam by way of RNAcentral. Lineage: Eukaryota; Metazoa; Chordata; Mammalia; Artiodactyla; Camelidae. RNAcentral also lists the same sequence under 2 other names.
UGGGUAAUAGCUCAGUGGUGUAGAGCACAUGCUAGCAUGCAUGAGGUCCUGGGUUCUAUCCCCAGUACCUCCA